GUGAGGUGGUGCUAUGUAGCAGGAACCCCUCUUGCUUUGCAAAUAGUUUUUUGUUUGUUUUCCUUUUUGCCCAAUAGAGCCCUGCUCUACUGACCCUUCAAUGUGCCCGUGUGCCUAAAUAUUCCUGGUCGUGUGAAAAGAACCCAGGUAUUAGCUGAACUAAGGAGCACAAUUCUGCAACAUUUUGGCACCCAAACACGGGGCUUGAGAAAUGAAUGCAAUUGGAGAAACUGGUUGUUUUACCAGGCGUUGAUUGGAAAUGUGUGCUUCCCUUUAAGCAGUCAAGCUCAACUUGCAGAACUGAUGGGAACCCCUUGGGAAAACUGGCCUCAAAUGUUUGUCUACACAGUCCACAUACAGGGUUCUUAACCUGCGGUAGGUAAUGGUGUCCCAUACCACAGAACACUUCCCUCAGAUGCAUCCUUCUAACUGGGAGGAGUUAAUUUCUCAAACCGUAGACUAAUUGGCUUAGGAUUAGGUUCAGGGGAAGGGAACACAGAAACAUGACAUGCCAGCAAAAGGGUAAAAGGUUUUUUUUCCCCGUUGGGCUUUUGGCCUCUCUCUCCCUGUGCAAACUGGUAAAAGGCGUCUGGAUUUUCUAGUUGUCCUUACCCACUGCUUGUUUCGUUUUGAUACAUAUUUUCUAAUAACCUGUUUGUCUCUUCUCACUUUUAGGCCAUCAAACUCCAGUCUGCACCUGGAGCCUUGGAUGAUGGCCUUUUUUACUGGGAACCCUGAAAUAGGCCUCUGAGGGAAAUCUGAUUGCCAUUUUCCCAAAACAGCUUCCCUGACAAUAGGAAGCAAUUAAGAUUGGUCUUCAUCCUUAUCUUUAUCCUUAUUCUAAUGGCAGUUAGAGGUACUUCUUUAGAGGGGGGAAUGAGACAGCCAAAUGCCUAGGCAGAUAAAAAGGUGUACCUGGAAAAUUUCCAACCCGUCACACAAGUGUUUACAUCAGAUGCUUUUGUGUAGAUGAGGGAAACUUCCCAGGGCUUGUCUGGGUAUGCCCACAGUGGACUGGAGCCCAAAAUGCACACUGGAGGAAGUGGAUGGAGCCACGUGGAUGUCAUGCCUUAUGCAGGGGAGGAGCCUGCUCUCUUCAGCUCCUGUGGUAAUGUGGGAAUCGAUCUGUGAGGUGAGGACCUGUUAGCAGGAACCCCUCUUGCUUUGCUGAAAGUUUUAUUUUUCUUUUUGCCCUAUAAAACCCUGUUCUACUAACCCUUCAAUAUGUCUGCAUUCCUAAAUUUUCCUGGUCAUGUGACGAGAACCUAGGUUUUAGCUGAACUAAGGAGCAAAAUUCUGCAACAUAAAGUCAAAGAAAACUAUGCCUAUAUCCAUUAAAUCAAAUGUUAAAAAGCAAAUAUAAAGAAAAAGUCUUCACAGCCCUAGAGAAAAGUGAAACAUUGUACAUAAAGAAGUAAUAAUUUGAAUGGAUUGUCAGAAACCAUGACUAGAAGACAGAGGAGCAAUAUUUUCAAAUUUCAUAGAGAAAGGAAAAAAA
This 1498-nucleotide long non-coding RNA is filed under the name Homo sapiens (human). Its description in RNAcentral is "p53 upregulated regulator of p53 levels". Lineage: Eukaryota; Metazoa; Chordata; Mammalia; Primates; Hominidae. The record is from RNAcentral.